AGAGUUUGAUCCUGGCUCAGGACGAACGCUGGCGGCGCGCUUAACACAUGCAAGUCGAGCGAUGAAACUUUAACAGAACCCUUCGGGGCGAAGAUAAAGUGGAUUAGCGGCGGACGGGUGAGUAACACGUGAGUAACCUGCCUUAGACAUUGGGAUAGCCUCGGGAAACCGGGAUUAAUACCAAAUAAAAUCAUAAUGACACAUGCCAUAACGAUCAGAACUCCGGUGGUCUAAGAUGGACUCGCGUCCCAUUAGCUAGUUGGUAGAGUAAAAGCCUACCAAGGCGACGAUGGGUAGCCGGCCUGAGAGGGUGAACGGCCACAUUGGAACUGAGAAACGGUCCAAACUCCUACGGGAGGCAGCAGUGGGGAAUAUUGCACAAUGGAGGGAACUCUGAUGCAGCGACGCCGCGUGAACGAAGAAGGCUUUCGAGUCGUAAAGUUCUUUUAUAUGGGAAGAUAAUGACGGUACCAUAAGAAAAAGCCCCGGCUAACUACGUGCCAGCAGCCGCGGUAAUACGUAGGGGGCUAGCGUUGUCCGGAAUCACUGGGCGUAAAGGGUUCGCAGGCGGAAAUGCAAGUCAGAUGUAAAAGGCAGUAGCUUAACUACUGUAAGCAUUUGAAACUGCAUAUCUUGAGAAGAGUAGAGGUAAGUGGAAUUUUUAGUGUAGCGGUGAAAUGCGUAGAUAUUAAAAAGAAUACCGGUGGCGAAGGCGACUUACUGGGCUCAUUCUGACGCUGAGGAACGAAAGCGUGGGUAGCAAACAGGAUUAGAUACCCUGGUAGUCCACGCUGUAAACGAUGAGUGCUAGUGUCGGCGAAUGUCGGUGCCGCAGUUAACACAAUAAGCACUCCGCCUGGGGAGUACGUGCGCAAGCAUGAAACUC
Molecule: ribosomal RNA, 886 nt
Filed under: uncultured bacterium
Lineage: Bacteria
Description: bacterial SSU rRNA
Rfam family: Bacterial small subunit ribosomal RNA
Source: RNAcentral